CCCUCUUCACAUUCAUGGAGUUGGAUGUUCAUCUAGUGCAAGAAAAAGGCGUGGUGAUGCCUGGAAUAGGAAGGCUGUAGGACAUCUUCGAAAGGCUGCUGCUCCAACUUCAGAAGAAGUUCUGAAGCACUUUCAAAUUAGAUAAAGAUCUAAUUUUUGGAGCAUAGAUUCGUGAGAAGAAGACGUUCUAGGUCCUGCCUGAGUAGAUACUGGUAGAGGCCAGGCACUUUUGUGGCUACAUCAAAAUCUCAGGCUGUGCUGAGAUCAUUUACAGGGUAAUCAGAUUACCCUUGAGGUAUGUCUAUACUUCUCAUACUUUUAGAUUUAAUUUUAGAUUUUAAAUAUCAA
RNAcentral lists this long non-coding RNA (348 nucleotides) under Elaeis guineensis (African oil palm). RNAcentral's name for it is "long non-coding RNA (EGUI_LNC062755)". The record is from RNAcentral. Lineage: Eukaryota; Viridiplantae; Streptophyta; Magnoliopsida; Arecales; Arecaceae.